AGGAGCAACAGCCCCAGGGGCGGGGCCAGCUCUGCAGCCCUGGAUUCAGCUCCGGCAGGAACUCCGGAGCUCUCCGUCUGCAGGGCCUGGAGGCUCCAGGGCGGG
This 105-nucleotide microRNA precursor is filed under the name Canis lupus dingo (dingo). RNAcentral's name for it is "mir-8834 microRNA precursor family". It matches the Rfam family "mir-8834 microRNA precursor family". Lineage: Eukaryota; Metazoa; Chordata; Mammalia; Carnivora; Canidae. The record is from Rfam by way of RNAcentral.